Molecule: ribosomal RNA, 376 nt
Filed under: salal root associated fungus UBCtra1542.4
Lineage: Eukaryota; Fungi; Basidiomycota; Agaricomycetes; Sebacinales; Sebacinaceae
Description: eukaryotic LSU rRNA
Rfam family: Eukaryotic large subunit ribosomal RNA
Source: RNAcentral
AGAGAAGUGUUUUCCGUGUCGGACCGUGCACAAGUUCCCUGGAACGGGGCGUCAUGRAGGGUGAGAAUCCCGUAUAUGGCAUGGACUACCGAUGCUUUUGUGAUACACUCUCAACGAGUCGAGUUGUUUGGGAAUGCAGCUCAAAAUGGGUGGUAAAUUCCAUCUAAAGCUAAAUAUUGGCGAGAGACCGAUAGCGAACAAGUACCGUGAGGGAAAGAUGAAAAGCACUUUGGAAAGAGAGUGAAACAGUACGUGAAAUUGUUGAAAGGGAAGCGUUUGAAGUCAGUCGUAUCUGGUGGGAUUCAGCCGGGCUUUUGCCAGGUGUACUUCUCGUCCGAUGGGUCAGCAUCAAUUUUGACCGGGGGAAAAAGACGUG